This is a long non-coding RNA of Oncorhynchus nerka (sockeye salmon), 4685 nucleotides long. RefSeq lists it as uncharacterized. The record is from RefSeq and is a predicted model, not a curated record. The transcript has 2 exons. Lineage: Eukaryota; Metazoa; Chordata; Actinopteri; Salmoniformes; Salmonidae.
GCCGCAGAGCCGUGCACAGAAGACAGACCUAGCCCAUGGGGAAGGGAGGAGGAGAAAGGGGGAUAUUUUAAGGGGUAGCACAGAGCAACCCUUUAAACACUUAUUAAGGAUCAUUGGGUCUCCCACGUGACGGUUGAGCUAACGUAGGCUAAUGCGCUUAGCAUGAGGCUGUAAGUAUCAAAAGAAAUUCCCAGGACGUAGACAUUUCUGAUAUUGGCAGAAAGCUUACAUUUGUGUUAAUCAAACUGCACUGUCCAAUUUACAGUAGCUAUUACAGUGAAAUAAUACCAUGCUAUUGAGAGUGCACCGUUUUGAACUUGAAAAGUUGUUAAUAAACAAAUUAGGCACAUUCAGGCAGUCUUGAUACAUAAUUUUGAAUAUAAAUACAAUGGUUCUUUGGAUCAGUCUAAAACGUUGCACAUACACUCCUGCCAUCUAUUGGCGAAAAUCUAAAUUGCAUCUGGGCUGGAAUAAUACAUUAUGGCCAUUUUCUUUCAUUUCAAAGAUGAUGGUACAAAAAAAUAAUUUGUUUUAAUUUAAUUAAAAGAUAAUUGAAGGUGAUCAAAUGGUUGCUUACCCAAAAAAACUAUUUCAAACACACACAGGCACGUUGUCCAGCGUCAUUAUGGCCAUUAGCAUGUAGCUGGACAAUAGACUUUCCUAGGAGGAGGGUAGGGGGGAAUUCUAUCCUCAAAUGUAUUUCUUAGUUAGGUUGGCUGUAUCAUAACCGGUCGUGGCUGGUUACAAUUUCAGGUUAAUCCACCAGAAAAGACAAAACAAAUAAUAAUAAUAAUAAUAAUAUUUUUGUUGUAUUGUGUAUCACAUCUGACUGUGAUUGGGAGUCCAAUAGGGCGUCGCACAAUUGGCCCAAUGAUUCUCUCCCUCUAAAAACAGAAAUAAAUGUUUUAGCUUUUACAAAUAUUAUGUUGGCCUUUAUUCAGAUUACUCUAUUCACUCACUUUAGUUUUGGUGGUGCAAAAAGUGCAAACCAAUCCCAGAACAGCAAAGCACCUUGUAAAGAUGCGGGAGGAAACGGGUACAAAGUAUCUAUAUCCACAGUAAAACGAGUCCUAUAUCGAUAUUACCUGAAAGGCUGCUCAGCAAGGCAGAAGUCACUGCUCCAAAACCACCAUAAAAAAGGCAGACUACGGUUUGCAACUGCACAUGGAGACAAAGAUCAUACUUUUUGGAGAAAGGUCCUCUGGUCUGAUGAAACAAAAAUAUAACUGUUUGGCCAUAAUGACCAUCGUUAUGUUUGGAGGAAAAAGUGGGAUACUUGCAAGCCAAAGAACACCAUCCCAACCGUGAAGCAUGGGGGUGGCAGCAUCAUGUUGUGGGGGUGCUUUGUUGCAAGAGGGACUGGUGCACUUCACAAAAUUGAUGGCUUCAUGAGGAAGAAAAAUCAUGUGGAUAUAUUGAAGCAACAUCUCAAGACCUCAGUUAAAGCUUGGUCGCAAAUGGGUCUUCCAAAUGGACAAUGAUCCCAAGCAUACUUCCAAAAUUGUGGCAAAAUGGCUUAAGGACAACAAAGUCAAGGUAUUGGAGUGGCCAUCACAAGGCCCUGACCUCAAUCCUAUAGAAAAUCUGUGGGCAGAACUGAAAAAGCAUGUGCGAGCAAGGAGGCCUAAAAACCUGACUCAGUUAUACCAGCUCUGUCAGGAGGAAUGGGCCAAAAUUCACCCAACUUAUUGUGGGCAGCCUGUGAAAGCUUGUGAAUACCUUGACAACAAAGUCAAGGUAUGGGAGUGGCCAUCACAAAGCCCUGACCUCAAUCCUAUAGAAAAUCGGUUGGCAGAACUGAAAAAAGUGUGUGCGAGCAAGGAGGCCUUUACAAUCCUGACUCAGUUAUACCAGCUCUGUCAGGAGGAAUGGGCCAAAACUCACCCAAUUUAUUGCGGGCAGCUUGUGGAAGGCUACCCAAAAUGUUUGACCCAAGUUAAACAAUUUAAAGGCAAUAUUACCAAAUACUAAUUGAGUGUAUAUAUACUUCUGACCCACUGGGAAUGUGAUGAAAGAAAGAAAAGCUGAAAUAAAUCAUUCUCUCUAUUACUAUUAUUCUGACAUUUCACUUUCUUACAUUAUAGUGGUGAUCCUAACUGACCUAAGACAGGGAGUUUUUACUAGGAGUAAAUGUCAGGAAUUGUGAAAAACUGAGUGUAAAUGUAUUUGGCUAAGGCGUUUGUAAACUUCCGACUUCAACUGUAUAUAACAUUUCUUACCGAGCAUUUCCAUAAAUCCAUGCAAGUUCCUUCAACUGUCUUCUGACUGAUUAGAGCGAUGUUGAUGUUUUGCCAUGAUGCCAGCAGAUUACAGGUGGCCUUUGCUGAUCGCUCAUCAUCUUCAUUCAUCAGUGCGUCGAUGGCUUGAAUAGUCUCGCUGGAAAUUGAAUACAAUGUAAACAUGUGCAGUAUACAGUAAAAACCAGCAGUCGAUUUAUUUAAGCAUUAUUAGGCCGACUUUACAGUAUUGUCGCCUACUGUAACUGUUCAUUUCCCUGUGCUUUCAAGUUUGGCGUAAAACAAGCAUCUGAUGACAGUGUUUGCGAAUAGCACCCUUCGUGACCAAAAUUCCCAAGUCAACCAGUAUUUUUGAAAUGUCUCCAGUAGAUUUUCCGUUCUUCCUGAAUGCCCUAAUCUGCUCACUUAAAUUAAUAGAGUUCCUGGUCAUGGUGCUACAGUAUGUUGUACUACAUAAUCUAAGUGAGGAGAAUCUGCAAUCUCCUGUAUACUUAUAGCCGUGACCAAAAUGAGCCAGAACUGAGAGGAUCACCAAAAAUAAAAGGUAUUUUGGUUUCAGUGCAUUUUAUAUACAAAACAUGUAUAUAGCUUAUCAAUGUGUAGGCAUACUGUGUAAUAAAAUCAAUAAUUGUGUACUAAAAACGUGAAUGUGUUUUAGCAGAGCUUACAACCCUGCAGACAACAAUCCGUGGAGAUCAGUGGACAAAGGGCUGGACAACGGGCCACACCGGAAAAAAACGCAUGGUUGCCAAGAAAGCGGCCACUGUAAUCAAUGGGGGCUCAGGCUGGUACCAUUCUGCUCAUCUGACGAAGGUGCUCAUAUGGAUGAGAUUCAAACCUUGAAGACCAAGAUCGAGUAAUUGAAGGCAGACCAUCAGAAAGAGAAACAUUCUCUGAGGGCAGAGAUACGGGUGACAGCUGAUGCAUUGUUACAGUGCCAGGCAGUCAUGUGGAGAAUGAUGCGUUGAAAAGGGCGAGGAACGAGAUGGAUUCACAAUCCAUGCCAGACACACCUGUGAGCUCUGGAACUCCACCUCUGACAGGCAGAGUCAACAUACGUGAUGGGUUCGUCAGGUCACCCUGACAUUUCCAUUCCUCUUCUGACAACAGAACUUGACAAACUGCUCACCAGGCAUAGCAAGGGCCGUCCGGACCGUUACGUUGUUCCGCUAUUCCAAGGAUGUGUAACCGAAGAUAGAUACCCAUAGUGGACACAGAAUACCAACUGGGCUGGAUCCCGAGGCAAAUGUGGCUUACCAGUGAACCUCCGGGAGUCCAUCAUUAAUACUGUGUCUCAGAAGUUUCUGUACAAGUUUCUGUCCAAGCAUGACAACCUGCAUAAGGACCUUGUGACCUAAGAGAACAGAAAACAUGGACAUAGAAGCUAGCUUGAUGAAAACUUUCUACAUAGUAAAUUACUAUAAUGUCAACCCAAGGUUUUACAUUACAAUUAUAACUUAAUAUCGCAGACCAGAUUUGCCCUAACGAUUAAGCACUGAUUAUGCUUUUGGGUCCCAAUGCACUACUGUGUCUCUGACAAUGAACGGGCAAUAUAAACCAAAAAAAUAAACUAAUAAUUGUGCACAACUUCAAAUGUAACAAAUAGGGAGCAGGUUUUCGAACCCUCAACCUUCUCGCCCAAAGUCCAACACUCUAUCGAGUGUGACCAAAUGUAUUAAUUAGGGUUGGGGCCAAUUGGGCGAAAAAUACACUAUCAAGCAUUGGGGCAUCAUCUUGAUAAAUCAAUGAGAUUUUUAUUUUCACUGUAUUUCCGUUUGGGUAUUGGUUACACUACAAUUAGAGUGUGGAAAUGUUAUGCCCCUUAGAUAUUAUGCUGUAGCCUACUCCCGGCUAUCACGUUGUAUAGCGCCAUACGUUCCGUUUCAUUCUAACAGAAACUCUGAGGGUUUGGUUUUUCGUCUCGGAAUAGAAACCCCAUAAUAUUAAUCUAAUUAAUUAAGCCUAACUUCUUAAAAUCAAUCCCAUAAACUAUGUUAUUACAAAAAGGGUUUUAAAUUCUCUAGUAAUGCCAUUAUGGAAGACUAUCAAAUGCUUCUCAAAGAUGCCCUCUGGUGGUCAAACUAGCACUAACUUGCAUUAAUGUAAAACAUGUCUGACAUUUAAUAUAACAUGCCAUAGAAUGCUGCAGCAGGCCACAAAUUGUACGCUGCAGUGUGCUGCAACUUUUGAAGGAGGAACAGCUGUAUGUUUGGUAAUGUAUUAUUGAAUUGUGACUGCUUUAUAUAAAAGUCGCAUGUAUGUAACAUGUGUAUGCAAAAUGUUUAUGUAAAAUGUUUAUGUAAAAGGUUAUGUAAAAUGUAUGUGUAUGUAGCAGAAAAGCAAAAUCAUUGAUAUCUGCAAGAACCCUAGCCCUUCUGAAUAUUCAGUACUAUACAAAUUGAUUUAAUCAUUUAUUUACUAACUAAAUAAAAACACAGAAUACACAUA